This 253-nucleotide ribosomal RNA is filed under the name uncultured bacterium. RNAcentral describes it as "partial 16S ribosomal RNA". It matches the Rfam family "Bacterial small subunit ribosomal RNA", at positions 524 to 776 of the family's 1533-position model. The record is from RNAcentral.
UACGUAGGGGGCAAGCGUUGUCCGGAUUUAUUGGGCGUAAAGAGCGUGUAGGCGGCCAGGUAGGUCUGCUGUGAAAACUCGAGGCUUAACCUCGAGCUGUCGGCGGAAACCAUCUGGCUAGAGUCCUGAAGAGGAGAAUGGAAUUCCCGGUGUAGCGGUGAAAUGCGCAGAUAUCGGGAAGAACACCCGUGGCGAAGGCGGUUCUCUGGGACGGUACUGACGCUGAGACGCGAAAGCGUGGGGAGCGAACAGG